AGACGGGGACCCGCACAAGCGGUGGAUGAUGUGGAUUAAUUCGAUGCAACGCGAAGAACCUUACCUACCCUUGACAUGUCCGGAACUUGCCAGAGAUGGCUUGGUGCCCGAAAGGGAAUCGGAACACAGGUGCUGCAUGGCUGUCGUCAGCUCGUGUCGUGAGAUGUUGGGUUAAGUCCCGCAACGAGCGCAACCCUUAUCAUUAGUUGCUACGCAAGGGCACUCUAAUGAGACUGCCGGUGACAAACCGGAGGAAGGUGGGGAUGACGUCAAGUCCUCAUGGCCCUUAUGGGUAGGGCUUCACACGUCAUACAAUGGUCGGUACAGAGGGUUGCCAAGCCGCGAGGCGGAGCCAAUCCCACAAAGCCGAUCGUAGCCCGGAUUGUUCUCUGCAACUCGAGAGCAUGAAGUCGGAAUCGCUAGUAAUCGCAGGUCAGCAUACUGCGGUGAAUACGUUCCCGGGUCUU
This 467-nucleotide ribosomal RNA is filed under the name uncultured Thiobacillus sp. RNAcentral's name for it is "bacterial SSU rRNA". It matches the Rfam family "Bacterial small subunit ribosomal RNA", at positions 912 to 1382 of the family's 1533-position model. Lineage: Bacteria; Pseudomonadati; Pseudomonadota; Betaproteobacteria; Nitrosomonadales; Thiobacillaceae. The record is from RNAcentral.